Molecule: ribosomal RNA, 404 nt
Rfam family: Bacterial small subunit ribosomal RNA
UGGGGGAUAUUGCACAAUGGGGGAAACCCUGAUGCAGCGACGCCGCGUGAGGGAAGAAGGUUUUCGGAUUGUAAACCUCUGUCUUUGGGGACGAAACAAAUGACGGUACCCAAGGAGGAAGCCACGGCUAACUACGUGCCAGCAGCCGCGGUAAUACGUAGGUGGCAAGCGUUGUCCGGAAUUACUGGGUGUAAAGGGAGUGUAGGCGGGUGCACAAGUAAAAUGUUAAAGCUAUGGGCUCAACCCAUAGAUGCGUUUUAAACUGUGCGUCUUGAGUGCAGUAGAGGCAGGCGGAAUUCCUAGUGUAGCGGUAAAAUGCGUAGAUAUUAGGAGGAACACCAGUGGCGAAGGCGGCCUGCUGGGCUGUAACUGACGCUGAGGCUCGAAAGUGUGGGGAGCAAACA